UCCUUCUUUUUCUAUCUUUAAUCGGAAUUACUGGGCGUAAAGCGUGCGCAGGCGGUCGUGCAAGACAGAUGUGAAAUCCCCGGGCUUAACCUGGGAACUGCAUUUGUGACUGCACGGCUGGAGUGCGGCAGAGGGGGAUGGAAUUCCGCGUGUAGCAGUGAAAUGCGUAGAUAUGCGGAGGAACACCGAUGGCGAAGGCAAUCCCCUGGGCCUGCACUGACGCUCAUGCACGAAAGCGUGGGGAGCAAACAGG
Molecule: ribosomal RNA, 253 nt
Filed under: uncultured bacterium
Lineage: Bacteria
Description: partial 16S ribosomal RNA
Rfam family: Bacterial small subunit ribosomal RNA
Source: RNAcentral